UACGAAGGGUGCAAACGUUGCUCGGAAUUAUUGGGCGUAAAGCGCACGUAGGCGGCUUUGCAAGUCCCAUGUGAAAUCCCACGGCUCAACCGUGGUAGUGCAUGGGAAACUGCAGAGCUUGAGUACUUAAGAGGAUCGCGGAAUUCCCGGUGUAGAGGUGAAAUUCGUAGAUAUCGGGAGGAACACCAGUGGCGAAGGCGGCGAUCUGGGAAGAUACUGACGCUGAGGUGCGAAAGCGUGGGGAGCAAACAGG
This 253-nucleotide ribosomal RNA is filed under the name uncultured bacterium. RNAcentral's name for it is "partial 16S ribosomal RNA". It matches the Rfam family "Bacterial small subunit ribosomal RNA", at positions 524 to 776 of the family's 1533-position model. The record is from RNAcentral.